Long non-coding RNA from Oryza sativa Japonica Group (Japanese rice), 2033 nucleotides. RefSeq lists it as uncharacterized. NCBI's taxonomy places the organism in Eukaryota, Viridiplantae, Streptophyta, Magnoliopsida, Poales, Poaceae. The record is from RefSeq and is a predicted model, not a curated record.
UCCUCCUUUUUUCCCUUCUCAACACUUCAAAAUUUUAUCCUCAUCCACCCAUCCUCAUCCUUAUCCUCACUCUCUCCUCUCUCGCUCUCUCACCUCUCCCUCACUCUCUCACUCUGUCUCCUCUCUCAUUAUCCUCUCGCGCUCGAGUGUGUGUGGCGAGUGCGGCCGGCGGUGGCCAUGAACAGUGGUGGGCGCGGAUGGCAGCACUGAGCGGCUCGGCAGCGGACGCGGACGGCGGUGGGUGUAGCCCGCGGCACUGAGCUGUUCGGUGGCGGGCGGAUCCACCUCGGCCAGCCUCGCAAUGGGCGGUGGGCGGCCCGGUUGACGGUGAAGGCGGCGGCUCCCUCAACCUCCCCAUGAAGCUUCGAUGGCGGCCUGAAGCGACGACGAUGAUGAGGAGGCGGCCGGGAGGGGCGCCACCGGCCCCGCGCGCACGCCGGCCGGAUCCGCACCGUCCUGGCCAACGACGAUGACGAGGAGGAGGCGGACGGCGCCGCCAGCCCCCCGCGCAUGGAUCUACGCCGUCCCGCUGCCGACAACGAGGAGGCAACGGCGGCCGGGAGCGGCGCCGCCCGCUCCGCGCACACGCGCGCCGGCCGGAUCCACACCGCUGCCGUCGGAUUCUAGGGUUCCUUUUUUUCGAAUUUUUAUUUUUUUGGAAUUUUAUUUUUCCAUGCGGGCGACAUAACCCGACCGCACACGAAAUCCGAUUAUCCCGUGUGGUCUACUUAAACUGACCGCAUGUGAAGAUUAUUUUUUCCGUGCGGUUAGGCUGCCCGUAUGCGGAAAUAUUUAUUUUCACAGACACCAGGGUGUAGGGUGUAGACGGGCAAGACCUCCGCAUGGAAAAAAAACUUUUUGACCGCACGAAAAAAAUCCUUUUAGUAGUAGUGAGCUAGUCAAAGUUGUCUGUUAUUUGAAAACAGAUCAGUGCAAUGCUACACAAUGCUCCAAUUAUAAUGUUAAUUAGAAUGCAUAAGUUUAUACACCCUACCUCCAAUUUUUUGCCACUGCAGGAAAAACAAAGCUAAGAAUACAUCUAGCAACUUUUCUCUGUGGAUGGGAAACGCAAGGGAGCAGAAAAUUAAUGAACAAACUCCAAACGCUGAAAGAUGGACAAGUAACCUGCCAGAUAGCAAACUAGAGAUGACGGGCCAACAGAAAGUUGUUUAGAAUACCUGUUUCAGCUAUUGUUAAGUAGAACAAGCAGAUUCAGGGAACAUUUUCCCAGUUUCAACUUUCAAGUAUAUCUUGGUGCCACACUUGGCUUACAUGCAUACAAUUUGGCGUUAAAUUGUUUGAUUUGCAUCAUGGUAUUUUUUUACGACUUAAUUAUUGGAUUUGAAUAUAUAUCAAGUACUAGUUGAUGUCCCGCACUUUGCUAUGGAAAUACUGAAAAUCAUCAAUAUUGUUUUUUUUUCAAUGGUUGAGGAUAGAAUAAAAAGGAUAUUAGCUAUUAACAAAAAAAAACUGGUUUGUCAAGCUAUAUUUGAACAUAUAUAAAUGUAAUAGACUAUGUAGGAGAUUGUAGAACAUAUAUAAAUUUAAUAGACUCUAUAGGAGAUUGUAGUUAAAAUAUAAGAUUGUUGGCCAAGAUUUGCAUCACAAGAUGGAAGAACGGAAAAAAGUGAUGAAAAGCCAGGGUUUAUAGUACUAAUCAUAAAACAAACUAAAUGAUACCCUACGCUUUAAUGCAGAAUAUAUGAAUGAAUAUAUGUUGAAAUAUUGUGGAAAUGAUGUGAGAUGUGAUGAUUGGAUAUGCUUGCAUGUUGAUUUGUAGAAUUCAAUAAAUUAUAUAUGAUAUGCCAUUCUUACAUGAUCUUUUCAUAAGUAAUUAUGUUUGCAUGUUGAGCUUUAAACUUGGUGGAUUACAACUAUAUAUAAGUACGAGAGAGAACGGCUGCGCUCAUGGAUACUGAUGAAGAUUGAGACGUGUUGGAAUAAGUUCACUGGAGGUCCCUCAACUUAACGUCGAGUUUGUCUGUGGUCCCAUAACCCCAAAACCAGACAUCUCCACCCCUAGUAUAUAUACA